This 105-nucleotide small nuclear RNA is filed under the name Dasypus novemcinctus (nine-banded armadillo). The record is from RNAcentral. Lineage: Eukaryota; Metazoa; Chordata; Mammalia; Cingulata; Dasypodidae.
AUACUCAAUUCAGCAGCACAUAUUCUAAAAUUGGAAUGAUACAGAGAGAUAGCAUGGCCCUUGUGCAAUGAUAACACACAAAUUCGUGAAGUGUUCCAUAUUUUU